GAAGGCGCCACUAAGCCCUUUGUCUACUUCAUUUUCACUCUCUUCCUUCUCAGUUGGGCAUUUUCACUCUCUCCAUUUCUCAGUUGGGCAGUUUCACUCUCUAGAUUCUUCAUCACAUGAUAAGGAUGUCGGAAUUCAGCCAUGGAAAUAAAGGAACAGUUCAGUACCAUUGAAGAAUUUAAUGAGAUCGGUAUUUGAAGGCAGAUUGAAUGAAGAGCAAACCAAAGAGCUCAACUAGCUGAAGAUCGUAUAUGAGUACGAUGAGGCGGAGCCAAAGUUCUCAAAGGUGAUAUGGAGGAGCUAAAGAUGCUAGGAAGUGAGGAGAAGAAGGAGGCUGAUGGAGAUGAGAAGGAGGAGGCAAUGGGAAUGAGGAGAAGUAGGAGAAGGGAGGAGGAUUGAAUGAGAAAGGAGGUGAGGAGAAGAAACAGAGCACAAAGGAAGGGGACUAGCUAGCUAUAGAUUAAUUAUGCAAAUUGAUCUAAUGAGGCUAGGAGGUGAUCUGAAGGAGCUAAAGAGGCUAGGAGGUGA
Fragaria vesca subsp. vesca is the source of this 528-nucleotide RNA transcript. RefSeq lists it as uncharacterized. The transcript is spliced from 3 exons. The record is from RefSeq and is a predicted model, not a curated record. NCBI's taxonomy places the organism in Eukaryota, Viridiplantae, Streptophyta, Magnoliopsida, Rosales, Rosaceae.